GUCUGACGUAACUCAGUUGGUAGAGCGUCGAUCUAGUAUAAUUCGAAGGUCGCGGGUUCAAGACCCAGCCGCGGCAGACA
Molecule: non-coding RNA, 80 nt
Organism: Paramuricea clavata
Lineage: Eukaryota; Metazoa; Cnidaria; Anthozoa; Malacalcyonacea; Plexauridae
Source: the annotation of a GenBank genome assembly